RNAcentral lists this ribosomal RNA (253 nucleotides) under uncultured bacterium. RNAcentral describes it as "partial 16S ribosomal RNA". It matches the Rfam family "Bacterial small subunit ribosomal RNA", at positions 524 to 776 of the family's 1533-position model. The record is from RNAcentral.
UACGUAGGGUGCAAGCGUUGUCCGGAUUCACUGGGUGUAAAGGGUGCGCAGGCGGAAUGGUCAGUCAGGGGUGAAAUCUCACAGCUUAACUGUGAAACUGCCUUUGAUACUGUCAUUCUUGAGUUCGGGAGAGGCUGAUGGAAUUCCAGGUGUAGCGGUGAAAUGCGUAGAUAUCUGGAAGAACACCAGUGGCGAAGGCGGUCAGCUGGCCCGUAACUGACGCUCAGGCACGAAAGCGUGGGGAGCAAACAGG